GGUUCUCACAGGCUCGAACAAUGCUGGUUUCAUGAAAUGCAACCGAAGGCUGAACCAAGGCAGUGCAACUUAGAAGCACACACACAAACACAGCUGACCAGGAACUUAGUGCAAAGUCUCCAACGCAGUCGGCGGUCCCGGCCCCUCCCUCCCCCGGGGCCGCCGGGGAUCCAGAGGGACUCGGGAGAGCGUUCAACGUCGGGCUUCCCGGGUCUGACAACUGAUUGGAAUCGGCUUCCCAGGUCCGGCGCCCUCCUGCGCUGCGCCCCCGGCGCGCCCCGGCGGCCAGGGCGCCCUGCCUCGCCCCCGGCUGCCCGGCACCUCCUCCGGGCAGCAGCCCUCCCUCACGUGGUAGGCUCCUCGCUAAACACCACUGCAAUCACUACAAUAAAAAAAAAAAAGGAGUAGGAGAAACACAAAGCAUACUUAAAUAGGCGCUUUUUCUCUCUGCAAAAAUAAAGUCCAAGAUUUUAGAUUUUUUUUUUUAUUUUACAAUUUAUAAAACAUCAGCCGCCUGCCCCCGCUCGCCCCCAGCUCAGCCCCGAGUGGCGGCCGGGGCGCGAGGGUCCCGCGGGCAGAGCGCAGCGGGCGCGGGCGGCGGCAGCGGCAGCGGCGCAGGACCCGGCUGCAGAGGCUCCAAGGGCUGCCCGCGGUGGGGCGCGCCGUGCGGCGGCUGGAGCGCGGC
RNAcentral lists this non-coding RNA (685 nucleotides) under Pan troglodytes (chimpanzee). The record is from RNAcentral. Lineage: Eukaryota; Metazoa; Chordata; Mammalia; Primates; Hominidae.